GACAGAGGGUGCAAGCGUUGUUCGGAAUUACUGGGCGUAAAGGGCGCGUAGGCGGUCUGCCAUGUCCGGUGUGAAAGCCCCCGGCUCAACUGGGGAACGGCAUUGGAAACUGGCAGACUAGAGUACCGGAGAGGAGGGUGGAAUUCCUGGUGUAGCGGUGAAAUGCGUAGAUAUCAGGAGGAACACCGGUGGCGAAGGCGGCCCUCUGGACGAGUACUGACGCUGAGGCGCGAAAGCGUGGGGAUCAAACAGG
This 253-nucleotide ribosomal RNA is filed under the name uncultured bacterium. RNAcentral describes it as "partial 16S ribosomal RNA". It matches the Rfam family "Bacterial small subunit ribosomal RNA", at positions 524 to 776 of the family's 1533-position model. The record is from RNAcentral.